ACCCGGUUGGUGAAACGGAUAUCACACGAAGCUACGGACUUCGAGUCAGGGGUUCAAAUCCUCUACCGGGUACAA
RNAcentral lists this transfer RNA (75 nucleotides) under Planctomycetota bacterium. Its description in RNAcentral is "Planctomycetes bacterium tRNA-Arg". It matches the Rfam family "tRNA". From Rfam's summary of the family: Transfer RNA (tRNA) molecules are approximately 80 nucleotides in length. Their secondary structure includes four short double-helical elements and three loops (D, anti-codon, and T loops). Further hydrogen bonds mediate the characteristic L-shaped molecular structure. tRNAs have two regions of fundamental functional importance: the anti-codon, which is responsible for specific mRNA codon recognition, and the 3' end, to which the tRNAs corresponding amino acid is attached (by aminoacyl-tRNA synthetases). tRNAs cope with the degeneracy of the genetic code in two manners: having more than one tRNA (with a specific anti-codon) for a particular amino acid; and 'wobble' base-pairing, i.e. permitting non-standard base-pairing at the 3rd anti-codon position. Lineage: Bacteria; Pseudomonadati; Planctomycetota. The record is from RNAcentral.